Phyllostomus discolor (pale spear-nosed bat) is the source of this 224-nucleotide long non-coding RNA. RefSeq lists it as uncharacterized. The record is from RefSeq and is a predicted model, not a curated record. Lineage: Eukaryota; Metazoa; Chordata; Mammalia; Chiroptera; Phyllostomidae. The transcript is spliced from 2 exons.
AGGCUGGACCUAAGCAUCCACAGCCUCCAUUCAGAUCAGAAAUUAAUUUCCAUUUUACUAUGGUAGAAAUCACUGACACACUACGAUACACACAAUUUCAACAACAUAAUUUUGAGGGGAAAAAAGUUUUUAUCAUUAUUGCUGAGGUAAAUGGCAUUGCAAUCUACAAUAACAACAUUUAAAUUUCAAUUACAACUCUCAGUGACUUUACUUGCCAUUAUUAA